This 329-nucleotide unclassified non-coding RNA is filed under the name soil metagenome. Its description in RNAcentral is "partial contains 5.8S ribosomal RNA, internal transcribed spacer 2, and large subunit ribosomal RNA". The stretch from base 1 to 120 matches the Rfam family "5.8S ribosomal RNA", at positions 35 to 154 of the family's 154-position model. The record is from RNAcentral.
GAUGAAGAACGCAGCGAAAUGCGAUAAGUAAUGUGAAUUGCAGAAUUCAGUGAAUCAUCGAAUCUUUGAACCCACAUUGCGCCCCCUGGUAUUCCGGGGGGCAUGCCUGUUCGAGCGUCAUUACAACCCUCAAGCUCUGCUUGGUGUUGGGCCCCGCCGCCCCGGCGGGCCCUAAAAUCAGUGGCGGUGCCGUCCGGCUCCGAGCGUAGUAAUUCUUCUCGCUCUGGAGGUCCGGGUGUGUGCUCGCCAGCAACCCCCAAUUUUUUUCAGGUUGACCUCGGAUCAGGUAGGGAUACCCGCUGAACUUAAGCAUAUCAAUAAGCGGAGGA